Molecule: ribosomal RNA, 466 nt
Filed under: uncultured bacterium
Lineage: Bacteria
Description: partial 16S ribosomal RNA
Rfam family: Bacterial small subunit ribosomal RNA
Source: RNAcentral
GACGAACGCUGGCGGCGUGCUUAACACAUGCAAGUCGAACGGAAAGGCCCCUUUGGGGGUACUCGAGUGGCGAAUGGGUGAGUAACACGUGAGUAACCUGCCCUUGACUUCGGGAUAACUUCAGGAAACUGGGGCUAAUACCGGAUAGGAAUCCUUGCUGCAUGGUGGGGGUUGGAAAGCUUCGGCGGUUUUGGAUGGACUCGCGGCUUAUCAGCUUGUUGGUGGGGUAGUGGCUUACCAAGGCUUUGACGGGUAGCCGGCCUGAGAGGGCGACCGGCCACAUUGGGACUGAGAUACGGCCCAGACUCCUACGGGAGGCAGCAGUGGGGAAUAUUGCACAAUGGGCGGAAGCCUGAUGCAGCAACGCCGCGUGCGGGAUGACGGCCUUCGGGUUGUUAAACCGCUUUCAGCAGGGGCGAAGCUUGUGGUGACGGUACCUGCAGAAGAAGCACCGGCUAACUACGUG